AGUAACGCGUGAGCAAUCUGCCUUUAAGAGGGGGAGUAACAGUCGGAAACGGCUGCUAAUACCGCAUAAAGCAUUAAAUUCGCAUGUUUUUGAUGCCAAAGGAGCAAUCCGCUUUUAGAUGAGCUCGCGUCUGAUUAGCUAGUUGGCGGGGUAACGGCCCACCAAGGCGACGAUCAGUAGCCGGACUGAGAGGUUGAACGGCCACAUUGGGACUGAGACACGGCCCAG
This 228-nucleotide ribosomal RNA is filed under the name uncultured bacterium. RNAcentral describes it as "partial 16S ribosomal RNA". It matches the Rfam family "Bacterial small subunit ribosomal RNA", at positions 109 to 334 of the family's 1533-position model. The record is from RNAcentral.